AAUCGGAAUUACUGGGCGUAAAGCGCAUGCAGGCGGCCUGUUAAGUCAGAUGUGAAAGCCCGGGGCUUAACCUCGGAAUUGCAUUUGAAACUGGCAGGCUAGAGUCUUGUAGAGGGGGGUAGGAAUUUCAGGUGUAGCGGUGAAAUGCGUAGAGAUCUGAAGGAAUACCAGUGGCGAAGGCGGCCCCCUGGACAAAGACUGACGCUCAGAUGCGAAAGCGUGGGGAGCAAACAGGAUUAGAUACCCUGGUAG
RNAcentral lists this ribosomal RNA (252 nucleotides) under uncultured bacterium. RNAcentral describes it as "partial 16S ribosomal RNA". It matches the Rfam family "Bacterial small subunit ribosomal RNA", at positions 543 to 793 of the family's 1533-position model. The record is from RNAcentral.